GUGACCACUGGAAAAACCAUAGCCUUGACUAGACGGACCUUUGCUGGCAAAGUAAUGUCUCUGCUUUUUAAUAUGCUGUCUAGGUUGGUCAUAACUUUUCUUCCAAAGAGCAAGCGUCUUUUAAUUUCAUGGCUGCAGUUACCAUCUGCAGUGAUUUUGGAGCCCAAAAAUAUAAAGUCAGCCACUGUUUCCACUGUUUCCCCAUCUAUUUCCCAUGAAGUGAUGGGACCAGAUGCCAUGAUCUUCGUUUUCUGAAUGUUGAGCUUUAAGCCAACUUUUUCACUCUCCUCUUUCACUUUGGUCAAGAGGCGCAGAAGUGCAGAACUGCAACAGAUGGUGCAGAAGCGCUGCCAAGAGGAGCUACCCCACGUCCAAGAACUUCAUCCAGGACACGACGUCGCGUGCAGCCAUCAUGCCUCCUCAGGCUCCUCUGGGCUGUGGCAGCUUUUGUUUUGGCCCUUUUUAAAAACGUUACUUUAAAAAUUGAGGCAGAUUUUCAGAUUAGAACUGUCUGGCAGAGCAGAAGAAAGCGCACUCAUCUUCUGUGAGAACUCCAAAAUUACAACUCACGCUGCCGAACAACUGUUGACAGGAGAAUGUUGGAUUCCAGAAAAAAAAUAUACUUCAUGUCCAGGGGCAAAGGCGAAGCUCCAGCAAGAUGGUAGGAGGGGCAAAAUUGCCUUUAGAAUCAAACCCCAUACCCUCCAGAGACGCUCGGAGGGUAAACAAAACCUUGUUCACACCAGGAGACUCCACAGAGACUGAGUCAGACCUGCCUUUGAGUGUCUCCUGGGGAGGUGCGGGUCAGCAGUGGGCUGCCACAGGGGCAGGGGCUCUGGGUGCGGCAGACCUGGGUGUGGUAUAAG
This 866-nucleotide long non-coding RNA is filed under the name Capra hircus (goat). RNAcentral's name for it is "lncRNA (ENSCHIG00000001700.1)". Lineage: Eukaryota; Metazoa; Chordata; Mammalia; Artiodactyla; Bovidae. The record is from RNAcentral.